GUUAGCGGCAUGGCUAAAACAUGCAAGUCGAACGCGAAAGAGGGGCAACCCGCGAGUAGAGUGGCGAAAGGGCGAGUAAUGCGUUUCUAACGUGCCCCAGGGUCGGGGAUAGCUCAGGGAAACUUGAGUUAAUACCCGAUGAUCCCAUAAGACGCAUGGCCCGACGGGCAAAGGCUUGCUGCCCUGGGAUCGGGAAACGUGCUAUCAGCUUGUUGGUGAGGUAACGGCUCACCAAGGCUAAGACGGCUAGCGGGUGUGAGAGCAUGACCCGCCGCAUCGGGACUGAGACACUGCCCGGACUCCUACGGGAGGCUGCAGUAACGAAUCUUCCGCAAUGGGCGAAAGCCUGACGGAGCAAUGCCGCGUGCAGGAUGAAGCCCCUCGGGGUGUAAACUGCUGUCAGGGUUUACCAACACAAUGAGGAAACCCAAAGGAAGGGCCGGCUAACUCCGUGCCAGCAGCCGCGGUAAUACAAAGGGCCCAAGCGUUAAUCGGAAUCACUGGGCUUAAAGGGUGCGUAGGCGGACAUGCAAGUGUCUUGUGAAAUCCCACCGCUCAACCGUGGAAUGGCUGGGCAUACUGCAGAUCUUGAGGUCGGUAGGGGCAGCCGGAACGCUAGGUGGAGCGGUGAAAUGCGUAGAUAUCUAGAGGAACGCCCAAGGAGAAGACAGGCAGCUGGGCCGAUUCUGACGCUGAGGCACGAAAGCGUGGGUAGCGAACGGGAUUAGAUACCCCGGUAGACCACGCCCUAAACGAUGUGUACUAGAUGGUGAAGGUUUUGACGCCGGCACGGUCGAAGCUAAAGUUUAAGUACACCGCCUGGGGAGUACGGUCGCAAGACUAAAACUCAAAGGAAUUGACGGGGGCUCACACAAGCGGUGGAGCAUGUGGCUUAAUUCGAAGCAACGCGAAGAACCUUAUCCAGGGUUUGACAUGUAUGGAUUAAUCACCUGAAAAACGGAAAACGCCCUUAGGGUGGAACAUACACAGGUGCUGCAUGGCUGUCGUCAGCUCGUGCUGUGAAGUGUCG
This 1030-nucleotide ribosomal RNA is filed under the name uncultured bacterium. Its description in RNAcentral is "bacterial SSU rRNA". It matches the Rfam family "Bacterial small subunit ribosomal RNA", at positions 35 to 1077 of the family's 1533-position model. The record is from RNAcentral.